RNAcentral lists this ribosomal RNA (774 nucleotides) under Bdellovibrio sp. RNAcentral's name for it is "bacterial SSU rRNA". It matches the Rfam family "Bacterial small subunit ribosomal RNA", at positions 48 to 839 of the family's 1533-position model. The record is from RNAcentral. Lineage: Bacteria; Pseudomonadati; Bdellovibrionota; Bdellovibrionia; Bdellovibrionales; Pseudobdellovibrionaceae.
AUAACACAUGCAAGUCGAACGGGGUGGCCUUCGGGGCCGCUUACGUGGCGGACGGGUGAGGAACACGUGGGCAACCUGCCCAAUGGUGGGGGAUAACCGCUGGAAACAGUGGGUAAUACCGCAUGAGCUCUUGGACCGAGUGGGGUCUGGGAGGAAAGCCUUCGGGCGCCGAUGGAGGGGCCUGCGUCCGAUUAGCUAGACGGUGGGGUAACGGCCUACCGUGGCGAUGAUCGGUAGCUGGUUUGAGAGGAUGAUCAGCCACACGGGGACUGAGACACGGCCCCGACUCCUACGGGAGGCAGCAGCAAGGAAUUUUCCGCAAUGGGCGCAAGCCUGACGGAGCAACGCCGCGUGUGGGAUGACGCUUUUCGGAGUGUAAACCACUGUUCAUGGGGACGAAGCACUGACGGUACCCAUGGAGGAAGGCCCGGCUAACUACGUGCCAGCAGCCGCGGUAAUACGUAGGGGUCGAGCGUUGUCCGGAGUUACUGGGCGUAAAGCGCAUGCAGGCGGCUCAUUACGCAUGGCGUGAAAGCCCCCGGCUCAACCGGGGAGGGUCGUCGUGAACGGGUGAGCUUGAGGGUAUCAGGGGCUGGUGGAAUUCCCGGUGUAGUGGUGAAAUGCGUAGAGAUCGGGAGGAACACCUGUGGCGAAGGCGGCCAGCUGGGAUACACCUGACGCUGAGAUGCGAAGGCGUGGGGAGCGAACGGGAUUAGAUACCCCGGUAGUCCACGCAGUAAACGAUGCAGACUAGGCGUGGGAGGACUUGACCCC